Molecule: long non-coding RNA, 159 nt
Filed under: Ictidomys tridecemlineatus (thirteen-lined ground squirrel)
Lineage: Eukaryota; Metazoa; Chordata; Mammalia; Rodentia; Sciuridae
Description: lncRNA (ENSSTOG00000032751.1)
Source: RNAcentral
AGGAAGUUUUCUUUAGCAUCUAAUGAUUUGGACCAAGACAAGCUCCCCUGCUCCUCCCUGCAUCCCACUCUGUUUGGCUCAGAGCAGGCCAUAAACCCUGGGACCAGAGCCAGGGAGCUGGCAUCAAACUGAAGUGAAGUACAGAGGCUGGGAGCCAAA